GUAGGUGGCAAGCGUUGUCCGGAAUUAUUGGGCGUAAAGCGCGCGCAGGCGGGUUCUUUAAGUCUGAUGUGAAAGCCCACGGGCUCAACCGUGGAGGGUCAUUGGAAACUGGAGAACUUGAGUACAGAAGAGGAAAGCGGAAUUCCACGUGUAGCGGUGAAAUGCGUAGAGAUGUGGAGGAACACCAGUGGCGAAGGCGGCUUUCUGGUCUGUAACUGACGCUGAGGCGCGAAAGCGUGGGGAGCAAACAGGAUUAGAUACCCUGGUAGUCCACGCCGUAAACGGUGAGUGCUAAGUGUUAGGGGGUUUCCGCCCCUUAGUGCUGCAGCUAACGCAUUAAGCACUCCGCCUGGGGAGUACGGCCGCAAAGGCUA
Molecule: ribosomal RNA, 374 nt
Filed under: uncultured organism
Description: partial 16S ribosomal RNA
Rfam family: Bacterial small subunit ribosomal RNA
Source: RNAcentral